GUAACAGAGGGUUUGAUCCUGGCUCAGGAUUGAACGCUGGCGGGAUGCUUUACACAUGCAAGUCGAACGGCAGCACGGACUUCGGUCUGGUGGCGAGUGGCGAACGGGUGAGUAAUGUAUCGGAACGUGCCUAGUAGCGGGGGAUAACUACGCGAAAGCGUAGCCAAUACCGCACAUUGCCCUUCGGGGAAAGCGGGGGACCUUCGGGCCUCGCACUAUUAGAGCGGCCGAUAUCGGAUUAGCUAGUUGGUGGGGUAACGGCUCACCGCGCGACGAUCCGUAGCUGGUUUGAGAGGACGACCAGCCACACUGGGACUGGAGAUAUCGGCCCAGACUCCUACGGGAGGCAGCAGUGGGGAAUUUUGGACAACAAUGGGGAAACCCUGAUCCAGCCAUCCCGCGUGUGCGAUGAAGGCCUUCGGGUUGUAAAGACCUUUUGGCAGGAAAGAAACGUGGCACGGGAUAAUACCCCCAGCAACUGACGGUACCUGCAGAAUAAGCACCGGCUACUACGCCAGCAGCCGCGGUAAUACGUAGGGUGCAAGCGUUAAUCGGAAUUACUGGGCGUAAAGCGUGCGCAGGCGGUUCGGAAAGAAAGAUGUGAAAUCCCAGAGCUUAACUUUGGAACUGCAUUUUUAACUACUGAGCUAGAGUGUGUCAGAGGGUGUGGAAUUCGCGUGUAGCAGUGAAAUGCGUAGAUAUGCGGAGGAACACCGAUGGCGAAGGCAGCCUCCUGGGAUAACACUGACGCCUGCACUGAAAGCGUGGGGAGCAAACAGGAUUAGAUAACCCAGUAGUCCACGCUCUAAACGAUGUCAACUAGCUGUUGGGGCCUUCGGGCUCUGGUAGCAGCUAAUUCCGUGAAGUUGACCGCCUGGGGAGUACGGUCGCAAAGAUUAAAACUCAAAGGAAUUGACGUGGGGACCCGCACAAGCCGGUGAUGAUGCAUUGAAUUGACGCAACGCGAAAAACCUUACCUACCCUUGACAUGUCUGGAAUCCUGAAGAGAUUUGGGAGUGCUCGUAAAGAGAACUGGAAGCAGGUGCUGCAUGGCUGUCGUCAGCUCGUGUCGAGAUGUUGGGUUAAGUCCCAACGAGCAACCCUUGUCAUUAGUUGCUACGAAAGGCACCCCACGAGACUGUUGCGACAAACCGGAGGAAGGUGGGGAUGUCAAGUCCUCAUGGCCCUCAUGUAGGGCUUCACACGUCAUACAAUGGUCGGGACAGAGGGUCGCCAACCCGCGAGGGGGAGCCAAUCCCAGAAACCUGAUCGUAGUCCGGAUCGCAGUCUGCAACACGACUGCGUGAAGUCGGAAUCGCUAGUAAUCGUGGAUCAGCAUGUCGCGGUGAAUACGUUCCCGGGUCUUGUACACACCGCCUGUCACACCAUGAGUGGGUUUUACCAGGAAGGGAUAGCUCAACCGUAAGGGGAGGGCGAUUACCACGGUAGAUUCAUGACUGGGGUGAAGUCGUAACAAGGUAAC
This 1483-nucleotide ribosomal RNA is filed under the name uncultured Bordetella sp. RNAcentral's name for it is "partial 16S-23S ribosomal RNA intergenic spacer". It matches the Rfam family "Bacterial small subunit ribosomal RNA". Lineage: Bacteria; Pseudomonadati; Pseudomonadota; Betaproteobacteria; Burkholderiales; Alcaligenaceae. The record is from RNAcentral.